RNAcentral lists this small RNA (84 nucleotides) under Salmonella enterica. RNAcentral describes it as "partial RtT sRNA". It matches the Rfam family "RtT RNA", at positions 46 to 130 of the family's 130-position model. Rfam says of the family: This family represents a bacterial cis-regulatory element known as RtT RNA. The exact function of RtT is unknown although it is thought that it may be involved in changing the cellular response in relation to amino acid starvation. The record is from RNAcentral. RNAcentral also lists the same sequence under 1 other name. Lineage: Bacteria; Pseudomonadati; Pseudomonadota; Gammaproteobacteria; Enterobacterales; Enterobacteriaceae.
CUGGUAGAGAACGUGAAGGAUAACGUUGCUUUAGCAACGGCCCGAAGGGCGAGGCGAAGCCGAGUCAUCCUGCACGACCCACCA